This 305-nucleotide unclassified non-coding RNA is filed under the name plant metagenome. RNAcentral describes it as "partial contains 5.8S ribosomal RNA, internal transcribed spacer 2, and large subunit ribosomal RNA". The stretch from base 1 to 105 matches the Rfam family "5.8S ribosomal RNA", at positions 50 to 154 of the family's 154-position model. The record is from RNAcentral.
GAAAUGCGAUAAGUAAUGUGAAUUGCAGAAUUCAGUGAAUCAUCGAAUCUUUGAACGCACAUUGCGCCCCUUGGUAUUCCGAGGGGCAUGCCUGUUCGAGCGUCAUUACACCACUCAAGCUAUGCUUGGUAUUUGGUGCCGUCCUUAGUUGGGCGCGCCUUAAAGACCUCGGCGAGGCCUCACCGGCUUUAGGCGUAGUAGAAUUUAUUCGAACGUCUGUCAAAGGAGAGGACUUCUGCCGACUGAAACCUUUUAUUUUUCUAGGUUGACCUCGGAUCAGGUAGGGAUACCCGCUGAACUUAAGC